CCUCGGCAGGCUUGCCUGUCGAUUGGACAAUUCUAUAACCUUUUUAAUCUUCAAUCAGCGUCUGAAAAAAACGUAAUAAUUACAACUUUCAACAACGGAUCUCUUGGUUCUGGCAUCGAUGAAGAACGCAGCGAAAUGCGAUAAGUAGUGUGAAUUGCAGAAUUCAGUGAAUCAUCGAAUCUUUGAACGCACAUUGCGCCCCUUGGUAUUCCAUGGGGCAUGCCUGUUCGAGCGUCAUUUGUACCCUCAAGCUUUGCUUG
RNAcentral lists this ribosomal RNA (260 nucleotides) under Didymocyrtis cladoniicola. RNAcentral describes it as "5.8S ribosomal RNA". The stretch from base 84 to 237 matches the Rfam family "5.8S ribosomal RNA". From Rfam's summary of the family: 5.8S ribosomal RNA (5.8S rRNA) is a component of the large subunit of the eukaryotic ribosome. It is transcribed by RNA polymerase I as part of the 45S precursor that also contains 18S and 28S rRNA. Functionally, it is thought that 5.8S rRNA may be involved in ribosome translocation. The record is from RNAcentral. Lineage: Eukaryota; Fungi; Ascomycota; Dothideomycetes; Pleosporales; Phaeosphaeriaceae.